This 393-nucleotide ribosomal RNA is filed under the name uncultured bacterium. Its description in RNAcentral is "bacterial SSU rRNA". It matches the Rfam family "Bacterial small subunit ribosomal RNA", at positions 29 to 430 of the family's 1533-position model. The record is from RNAcentral.
AUUGAACGCUGGCGGUAUGCCUUACACAUGCAAGUCGAACGGUAGGGGGAGCAAUCCCCUGAGAGUGGCGAACGGGUGAGUAAUACAUCGGAACGUGCCCAGUCGUGGGGGAUAACGUAGCGAAAGCUACGCUAAUACCGCAUGCGACCUGAGGGUGAAAGCGGGGGACCGAAAGGCCUCGCGCGAUUGGAGCGGCCGAUGGCAGAUUAGGUAGUUGGUGGGGUAAAGGCCCACCAAGCCUGCGAUCUGUAGCUGGUCUGAGAGGACGACCAGCCACACUGGGACUGAGACACGGCCCAGACUCCUACGGGAGGCAGCAGUGGGGAAUUUUGGACAAUGGGCGCAAGCCUGAUCCAGCCAUACCGCGUGCGGGAAGAAGGCCUCGGUGUAACG